AUUGAACGCUGGCGGCAUGCCUUACACAUGCAAGUCGAACGGCAGCACGGGAGCAAUCCUGGUGGCGAGUGGCGAACGGGUGAGUAAAGUAUCGGAACGUGCCCAGUCGUGGGGGAUAACGUAGCGAAAGUUACGCUAAUACCGCAUACGAUCUAUGGAUGAAAGCGGGGGAUCGCAAGACCUCGCGCGAUUGGAGCGGCCGAUAUCAGAUUAGGUAGUUGGUGGGGUAAAGGCUCACCAAGCCGACGAUCUGUAGCUGGUCUGAGAGGACGACCAGCCACACUGGGACUGAGACACGACCCAGACUCCUACGGGAGGCAGCAGUGGGGAAUUUUGGACAAUGGGCGAAAGCCUGAUCCAGCCAUGCCGCGUGCAGGAUGAAGGCCUUCGGGUUGUAAACUGCUUUUGUACGGAACGAAAAGGUUUGGCCUAAUAAGCUGAGCUCAUGACGGUACCUGAAGAAUAAGCACCGGCUAACUACGUGCCAGCAGCCGCGGUAA
RNAcentral lists this ribosomal RNA (500 nucleotides) under uncultured bacterium. RNAcentral's name for it is "partial 16S ribosomal RNA". It matches the Rfam family "Bacterial small subunit ribosomal RNA", at positions 30 to 523 of the family's 1533-position model. The record is from RNAcentral.